Micropterus dolomieu (smallmouth bass) is the source of this 398-nucleotide long non-coding RNA. RefSeq lists it as uncharacterized. Lineage: Eukaryota; Metazoa; Chordata; Actinopteri; Centrarchiformes; Centrarchidae. The record is from RefSeq and is a predicted model, not a curated record. The transcript has 3 exons.
UCAUCAUCUUAUCAUGCACGACUUCUUUAUAUUAUUGUUAACUGUUGUAAUGUGGGAUCAUGGAAUCAGACAAUUGAGUUUUCAUCCAGCAGAAAGAAAGAGCGAGAGGAGGAGGAGGAGGGAAGAGGGAAAGCGAAUAGAAGGGGAAUUGCCAGUACAUGUAGCUGGUGGCUCUGGUUUUGUGAAGAGGGAUGAGGUGUUGAAGAUGUAUCUCCCACUCUAAAUGCUGAUGCGUGAAUUUCUUAGUGCUGCUGAUCCAUGCCAGAGACGGACAAGGAACCCUUGCCUUUAUUGCUCAGGCUCACUUGACACCAUCUGCAUCCUUCUGUUCCAGUUAUGUAGGGAUUCAGCAAUAUUAAUUUAAAGCUGGAUUCAAAUAAAGCAAGAUAUGGACUUCA